AUGGAUGUUGAGGACGACGAUGUGGAGGCGGCCGAGAGGGAAAAGCGAGGCAUGCCUACAUCAUUCCAAGGAGCCGUGCGUGUGCUUCCGAUUGUUCCGGGAGGAGGGAAGGUUCAUGCUGAUGGAGGUGGGGAUCCCCGGGAAGGAGAAGAAGAAGAGAAGGAGGAGGGGAAGAGGAUAACUAGCAGAGCCCCUCGCGUCGUCCCCAACGUUGAGGUAGAAGUUCUUCCUGAGGAGCUUGAGGCGGUCAGGGAGGGCAGUGAGCAGGACGUGGACUCCAAAAAGGGUAGCAACGCAGCCAGCAAGGCCGCAACCUACUCCCAGCUCGAGCGCCCGCGCGUCUCGGAGAGCAAGGCGUACCGACUUGACGGCACGCUCAAGGAACUUGGCGAGGACGACGGCGCUGUCCUAGACAACGGCACCGGUGACGCCGGGCGUGGCCAUGGAGGACGGGAAACCGUUGCGUGUGAGCGCGCUAGGCCGGCCGCCGCCCGUCCUUGUGACCUAGGUGGGAAGAGAUGAGAGAGACGGG
RNAcentral lists this long non-coding RNA (532 nucleotides) under Oryza sativa Indica Group (long-grained rice). Its description in RNAcentral is "lncRNA OsMH63_01G036180". The record is from RNAcentral. Lineage: Eukaryota; Viridiplantae; Streptophyta; Magnoliopsida; Poales; Poaceae.